AGUUCUGUGGUCUAAUGGUUAUGAUAUCUCGUUCACAUUGGUGUGUUUAAUUUCCCGAGAUGGUUCUGGGUUCGAUCCCCAGCAGGACUA
Transfer RNA from Pseudomassariella vexata, 90 nucleotides. It matches the Rfam family "tRNA". Rfam says of the family: Transfer RNA (tRNA) molecules are approximately 80 nucleotides in length. Their secondary structure includes four short double-helical elements and three loops (D, anti-codon, and T loops). The record is from Rfam. NCBI's taxonomy places the organism in Eukaryota, Fungi, Ascomycota, Sordariomycetes, Amphisphaeriales, Pseudomassariaceae.